RNAcentral lists this long non-coding RNA (4413 nucleotides) under Canis lupus familiaris (dog). RNAcentral's name for it is "lncRNA (ENSCAFG00000052781.1)". The record is from RNAcentral. Lineage: Eukaryota; Metazoa; Chordata; Mammalia; Carnivora; Canidae.
UUUUUUUUGUUUUUUUGUUUUUUAAUGUUUGUGCCGUUAACACGUUGAAUUAAUUCCUCAGUUUGCCUUGAUAUAAAACAGAUUUAGGGUUUGGGUGUUGAGGGUUUAACUGGAGAGAAGUUAUGAGAAGAGGAAAUGACAGUAGAACAAGAGAGACUAUCAGGGGGUAGAUGGGGUUAAAUUCAGGUCCUGCAAAUAAAAACUCACAUAUCUUCUAGACUACCUGAACCAGCAUCCCAUGCAUCCAAUCCAGUUCAAUGUCCUCCUUGGGAAGAGGUUCCCAUCUACCACCCCUUAUUGUGAAAGGUGGAUGUAUCUAUUCUCUGAACAUGUAUUAGGGAUUCAGGACUCAAAAUGGGCCUGUUCAGAAGCCUCAAUACCUGUCCAGAAAAUGCUACCUUCUUAUAAGAUGCAAAGCCAUUUUCAAUCAGAGCAAAAAUAAUGUGCAGCUCAAAUCUUGUUUUCAUAUAUAAUUAUGAAUCAUUUAUCCUGGCUUGAGCCCUGCUGAGCAUGGUUCCAUCCGAGAAUCACCAUAAUCCCCCUGAGAACACAGACCUCCUUGCUUCAGCACUUCCCCACUGAGGGCUUAUUAGAGAAAAUACACAGAAGCUACACGACCAAAACAAACCCUUUACCUGAGACUAUCAAAGAUGUUACCUACAGCAGCGAUAUACAACGGAGGACCUCAGGGUGUGUGCACCCUUCAUGUAAUGCCACCAUUCAUUAUCUGCGUGUCACUCUGCAUUUGGCUUUGCAGCCACUUGUCUUGCCGAAAAUGAGCAGUAGGAUGAUAGAAGAGUGGAAACAGAAAGCUGCUUUCUUGGGCAUCAAAAGAAAACUGAAUCCUGAAAUUAACACGUAUUUCCUUUCUUAUCUAAGGUAGGGCCAGGACCAACCCUAGGCAGUUUGCCCUGUGGCAAAGUUUAUUUUCUUCCAUUGCUACACCCUGUUGUCCCCACAUUGCAUCUCCUUUUCAAAGUGCCAACCAUCCAUUCUGUAGCACUACACCGACUGACCGGGUUACGCGUUUUCCUGUAACUUUCAUUCACACCUUCUUCCUGCUUUUUUUCCAGCUGAAUAUGUGUAGUCUUCUACUAUUUUCUCAUAAUUAAGUAGGGAAGCUGGACAGCAUAAUGAUUAUGAAUAUGGGCUUUUGAGCUUCAGUGUCUGAGUUCAAAUCCUGUCUCCAGCACUAAGUAGCUGUGUGGCUCCAGGCAAGUAAUCCAGCCCUCAUUUCUGUCUGCUUUCUCAUCAAUAUGAUGAGCUACCUCAUGGGGUGGUCAGAGAGGCAUAUAUAGUAUGUGAUUAAAGAGAAGUUUGUUUCCUUCCCCACACUGUUCUAUAUCUUGUCUCACCCUUGUCUUUCUCUUUUGGUCACCCUCAUCUGCAGCCCUUCUUCCUAAAAUGGGUUGUUAGGAGCACAGUGCACCUGGUCACAGCCCCUGUGAUGGUUUUCUUCUGGACUGUGUACUUCUCUAAUAGCAUACACAUCUUUAUAUUUAACCCACUUCUUGUAAUAGAAUUUGGGAGAGCUCCUCAGAUGCAGGUUAUUUGUUUCCAAACAUUUUACCAUUCCUUUGCCUUCUUAUCAAACAACACUGAAAUGCCCUUCUUAAGAUAGGAAUAAUAUAGAAGGAAAUGCUUUGGCCUCACCCACAGCUGAAUGAAGGCUGGCUUGUACCCCAAACACAACUUCAGCUUCAUUUCUAAUUGAGAUUUAAAGUCUUUUUACCCCUAUGAUGUUCUCUCUUUUAAGCUCAAUAUUCAGUGGUACGAUAUAUUAGUUGCUGUAAAAUAUCUUUUUCAGGCAGGGAAUGUGAGCUAUUAGCAGGGCUAUAAUAUGCCAGCUAAAAGGAAAAGGGUUAUAGGCGUGGGUGUGGGCAAGAGGUGUUCUAUGCAACCCCACUGGGACAUCACCACUUUAGAAAACAAUUUUACAGUCAUAUAGUUAAAUUAACUGGUAGUUAGAGGCAAUUAUGUGAUAAAGUAAAAAUAUUUAUGUUCUUUAGAGCUCCAAAACUGUCAUUUGAAGUGUGACAAAUUUUUAAGUAAUUUCACCUGCAACUUUUGAAAGAUUAAUUCUAUGACUAAGGGCAUAAAAUUGAAACAGGUUGCCACUGUAAAAUAAAAUCAAACUUAUCUCCUCCUUGUAAUUUUGCUUGAAUUUAGUGCUCAUGGAAUGUCUCACUGUCAUAGUUUCUGUGCUUCAAGUCUUUAUUUUCUAAACAACUGCAAUUUGAAAUUUAAGACUUUAAAAAGCAAUCCUCCCUUAAGAAGUUCAAAAUACAUGCGUGUACACAUGCAUACACACACUUGUACAGUUCUUGGUGCCCUGCUGUAUCAUGUUUGGGGCAUUUUUUUUAUGGUAAGCACAAGCUCAUACUUUUUCUUAUUUUCAUUAAAAAGUCCAUUGGAAGCCAUAAGCCAUUAAAAAAAAAAAGAAAAGAAAUCACCUACUAUCAUAUCUUCUACACAGCUAUUUUAUGGUUACUCAUUAUCAUUUUUGUCUCUGCUCAUGUACAUUUACAUUUUUACACAAUUGCAACUAUAGUGUAUAUACAAUUUUGUGUUUUUCUUCAGUACUUCAUAUUGUGCAUUUUUAGUGUUGUUAGUCUCCGUGACCAUCAUUUUAACAAGCUGCAAAAUAUUAUUUUGAGUGACUACAUCAUAAUUCAUUUUACUAUUCUUCUAUCAUUGGGUGCUUCAGUGGUUUCUAGUAUUUCACUCUUGUAAAUAGUGCUGCAAUGAACAUUUUUAUGCUAUGGCUUUCUCUUUUCUUUUAUUAAAUUUCCUUGGGCUAGAAUCCCACAAGUGGGAUUAGCAGGUUAAAAUACAUGUGCUUUUUACUUUGGUAGCUCUGGAUACCCAAGGUCAAAUUGCUUUUCAAAGUAUUUUAUCAAUUGACAUGACCUCCAGCAAUAUAGUUCAUCUAUACUUUUGUGUAUAAAUUUGAUAGCAACAUGUUUAUUUAUAUGGCUUCACUGAUAUUAUACAUAAUUCUAAAGCAUUUACUGGGUCUCCUAAUCUUUGGCCUUGGUGGAAGGCCUUUUGCUCCUGCAGCUUUCAUGGGUGUCACAGCAUUCAAAUGCAAGUGCAUACAGGGACACACACAUAUAAGCCCCAGAUGUCAGAUGGGUAGUUCAGUAGGAGUAGCGGAGAUCAGUCAGAUAUUUGCCCUUAUGUAUUGGAAGUACAAAGACAUAAAGGAAAAAACAUAGUAUGUGGAGUUCAGUCUUCAGGCUUUCUCACCUUGCUCUCACCUCUUCUUUCCACCACUUAACUGCCUCAGUCUUAAACUCCAGCCCCUGCCGAGGCUGUGCUCUCUUUCAUUCCUGGCAGGACACCAGCCUUUGUGUAUUGCUGUUGGUCUACCUGGCCUUUCGCCAUAGUCUACCUGCCUCUGAAUGUCACCAUGAGAAAAUGUGUAUAUUCAAUUCAUCCCUUCCCCCAACCUCAAACUGCUCCCUGUCAUGUAGACAAAGGGCUGCCCACAGAGCUGUGCGUGGAGUAGGCCCACCGAGUGCAAAAUAGCACAGAGGAUAAACAUGUUCCUGGCUGACCAAGCAAUGGAUAAGCUUGCUAAUCUCCCACCAAUACAGUUCAUGAGUUGUAGUCAUCUAAUCAUAGGAGUCUGGAUCAGAGCCAGUAACUCAUUUCACAUGGGUCACUCAGGAGCCCAAGAUAGAAAUAAGUUUAAAUCAAUGCAAUCAAAAGGUGAAAACCUCCAUAUAACUGGAGGUGUAAGGAGCAGAGCUUAUUGGCAUCUUGAAUUGUUGUAGCUCUCAUAAAAAGUUAUAGCUUUAACCUUUCAUAUAUGAUGGUUCUAGUCUAAUUUUUAUUACAAUAUUAUGGAUAAUGUAUGUCUAUUAGAGAAAAUGUGUGCUUUUGAAAAUGAUAAUGCCAUAUUUACUUUUACAUUUUCUUGCUCAUAGAAUUUGGCCCCCAUUUCGGAAAAUUCCUGCUUGGGACAGCAAUGACAAAGGUCGGUUUUUCAGAGCUUAUAGGGUAUCAGGUUCCCAGCCAUAAGAGGUUGAAAUAAUAAUAAAGGCACCAUGUACCUCUGGAGUAGUUCUUGUAAAUGACCUGAGGGUUACCUUGAGCCUGAAAAAGGAACUGCUCUAUACCUUUGUUAAGUAUGAUGCUCACCUGGCCAUUGUAGCUUAGAACUGGGCCCAUAUGGAUGGGUGGGUGGGUUAAGCUGCUGGACCAGUCCAUCAGUGAAGAUGAUUAAAUCACAGAAAUUCUCACACUCCCAGAUUCUUUUGCUGAAGAUUGGUUCUCACAUUAGGAACACAUUCUGUAUUCUAUUAAAAAGGUGCUGCUUCUAUAAAGAUCUACAUACAAAAUUAACUGCAAGCAGGAGCAAAUAGCACUGAGCUAUUUGUCACUUAAUGGAAAGAAGUGAGGAAGUAC